This is a long non-coding RNA of Anolis carolinensis (green anole), 5490 nucleotides long. RefSeq lists it as uncharacterized. NCBI's taxonomy places the organism in Eukaryota, Metazoa, Chordata, Lepidosauria, Squamata, Anolidae. The record is from RefSeq and is a predicted model, not a curated record. The transcript is spliced from 2 exons.
CAUAAAGGGAGAUGGUUCUGUUUCUGACAAAUAUAGAUAUUUUGUCUUCUUUCUGUAAAACUGCCCCACAUGACCUUUUUAAGGGAAGUCUUUUACAUCGGGGCAUGCCCUUUUUUUCUUAAGAACUGUAUGAGGUCCUGGGAGGGAAUACAUGCAAAUGCAUGCAGUCUUAUGACUGUGAAUUAUUAUUAAUUCAUACACAUACUUAUUCCCAUACACAUGUCACUAUACAGAUGUUUAUAAUCCUUCCACGUUUUCCUACUGCUCUCUCAAAUCUCUUUUUUCUUAACGCAGAAAAUCUGUGAAGGACAGAAAGAUGGAAGAGCUGCCCCAAACCUUUAGACUGGCAGUUUAGGAUUCUUAUAUCAGAAAUCACUUAACACGUAUAACAUAAUGGUUUUCUGGUAAUAUUUUGAUCAUGGUUUUUCUAAGAUAAGCUGUAGAUUGAAUAGAAAUCAUAGCACCCUCAUUUUAUUUUAUUCAUGCCAUGUUGUUGCAAAAAACAAAGCUGACAAGUCUGAGCUGUCAAAAUAUCAGUAAUCCAAGGUUCCCAUAGCGUUUUGUUUCAUUUACUCAUUCCUAGGUCUCAAGAAAGGAGAAGGCUGUUGGGGUUAAUAGGCCUAGCACCCAGGCCUGCAUUGUGUAAAGCUGCCCACAUCUUUGAGAGCUCUUUAGUUAAGCGGUUAGGUUUGAGCUAUAAUCCUUCCAAAAACUUUGGCACUGGCAAACAAAAAAUAGCCCUUUCCUCCCUUUAAAAAAAUUGAGAGAAAAGGCAGCUGGUGACAUUAAGAAUAAUUUGUCAGAUUACAUUUAUUGUACUUGGGAAGUGAUUAUGAAAUUGGGAUUCAGUUGAGCAGAGAGUUUUUUGUGGGACAUGAUGUUGAUUUGGCUGUUGGGGAACCUUAUUCAUUUGAAUGAUGACUGUGCAAAUAAAAUUAAUAAAAAAGAAGAUAAGAUACUCUCUGUCAAGAUGGGAGGCACCAGAAACCAUAAUUGCUGCUCUUGUUCAGGAAUGCUUUAGUUGCAUGUUUCUGGAUAGCAGGGGGUUGAUGACCCUUCCAGUCCCUCCAGCUCUGAGAUUCUAUGAUUCAUACACAUGAGAUGGAGUCUGAAUCACGUAUUACAUGUCAAAGUGCUUGUUUGAAAGGUGAAAGCAACUUCGGAAGAUGAUGGUUCAAAGCAAAGGAAGAAGGUGGCAUGCAGUUUAAACCCACACAGAGAGCGUUUUUCUUUUCCUAUCAGCAGGAACAAAACAAGAGUUUUCUUCCUGAGACAAAAGUUAAGUUGGCAACUCCUACUCUUCUCGUGGUGCCAACAUAAGUUGACUGUGCAAACAAAGUAAUAUGACUUCGACAACUAAUAGAGACAUCCUACUCUUCAGAACUGGUUUAGGGGGCCCUUGGCAAGUCAUGUUACCUGUGUUCUCAAAAGAAGGCCGGUGAUUUAGGAAGUGGGUUGCUGUGAGUUUUCCAGGCUGUAUGGCCAUGUUCCAGAAGCAUUCUCUCCUGACAUUUCACCCACAUCUAUGGCAGGCAUCCUCAGAGGUUGUGAGAUCUGUUAGAAACUAGGCAAGUGAAAUGUCCAGGGUAGCAUUGACUAGCCUUGCAGCUUCAAAGCCUGGCUGCUUCCUGCCUGGGGGAAUCCUUUGUUGGGAACUGUUAGCUGGUCCUGAUUGUUUCCUGUCUGGAAUUCCCGUUUUCUGAGCGUUGUUCUUUAUUAACUGUCCUGAUUUUAUAGUUUUAUUUAAUACUGGUAGCCAGAUUUAGGAAGGAUAUCAAAGUGUAGCCACUAACACCUAGGAACAUCACUCUACCUACUAAUCCUAUCCUUUGAUUUACUGCUUUCCUUGUUUUCCAGCCACUUUGGUAGUUUCUUGUGUGUUUUUUUGUAAAAGGAUUAAAUAUUUCUUUCCAUAGUGCUUCUCCUCUGCUCUCAUUCUCCACCUCCUGAAGCCCUUUCUGGUAUUGGCUUUCAGGAGGAACAUACACACUUAGUAGAUAAUGUCCCUUUUGGUUCUGAGGGAGCCAAGGAGAGAAAAGAAAAAUAGUAUAGUUCUGAAAAACAGCUUUAUAUCCAAAAGUGGUAGAGAUGCCUGCCUAGUAACCAGAAUAUUUCUUUCUUAUUUCUCAAAACCUUUCCAAGCCUAUGCAAAUACUAGUUGCAGUAGCUCUUUCUGUGUUUGUGGUUUGUUGGGCAGCCUCUGAUGGACUUGAUUUCUUCCAAAGUUGUGAGAUACCUGACGUAUACAUUGUGACAACAAAAACCUUACUCUUGUUUCAUUUAACUGUGGUAACUGAGAUUUCUUUUUUCUGUAAAGUUCUAUUUAGUAAACACUAUCAAAUCCAUAUUCCAUUUUUUUCGGUUGCCAUGGGAAGCUACCAAACAUACACCAAACCCUGAACUGAACUAGUAAUUUAGAGAGGAAAUGACUGUGUGGGGAUUUUUUUCUGAAACCGUAUUUUUUAUAUAUGUAUGUCCAUGGCAUUUGACUUCCCCCACCUCCUGUUCUGAAAGGAAGCACUGUCUAGAUGAUUCAUAGUAUUCAAACCACGAGUAUUAUUUCCAUAGUGAUGGUGUUUAGCCUCUUUUAUUCAGUUCCUCUGCUCUUCUGAUUUUACUUGUUAUACAUUUUUUUCAAGUGCAGAAGGGCCCUUUUCUUUUCCCGAGAUAUGUCAUAGCUUUAAGAAGUAAAAAUGUUUCUACUGUUGCAGUCAGUUCUAAUGUUAUCAUUCAAUGUACAUCCACUUGUCUUGUGAAGUUCAAGCACAUGUUAUAUGCAUGUUGCCUGGAUUUUGUAUUUACAUUGGUACAACUAGCACCUUGUCUGAUGGUUCUUUUACUUCAGGAAAAAAUGUCACCAUGGACUAACUGAACACUGGUAGCAACACCGAGGCAUUAAUAAACUAGUCUACAUGCCUACUGAUGUCAGGAGGAGGACAUGCUGUAAGAAUAACAAGCUCCCCAGUAGCAGAAUCUCCGAAUUACAUGCAUCAAAAAAUUUAAGCUUUUCAAAGGUGGAAGAUGAAAGAUCAAGUGCUUUUCAAAUUUAUUUUCCUGUACCUUUUUCUUAUAUACACCCCUACCUUCUUUUUAACCAAGGUUCACAUAUUUUUUUGGAAAAAUGGAAUCUCAUUUCAGAAACAAAACAAAACCAGACAUUGUGGGUCAAGAAAAUAAUUUCGCCUUUGAGGAAUAGUGCUUUCAAGUUCCCUUGACUACACUGCUAUAGCAAACAACUAUUUGAUUUGGUAAAGAAAAUGUGUUUGAAAUAUUAGAAAUCUGUGUUGCUAGAAUCUUUCUGGUUGUGCUUCAAACACAAAGCUUGUCAUUGUUAGUAAAGCUGAUUUGUCAGAUGUGCAUAUGUAUGUGGAUUCAACCCGUUUUGAAAUGUUAGCCUGGAGAAAGAAGACAGCUCCUGGAACAAAGCCAAGAUAUUUUCUCCUGCCUUGAGAAUCAAGAGAAACUUGAGUAGAAGUUGAAAGAAAAUGACACCAGCAAGUCUAGGAUUAUCCGAAGGAAAGACAUUCAUUAUAGGGUGAGCAGACAAAGGAAGAUUUAAAGUCUCUCUGUCUUUAUCUGCACCAAUCUGUGUGAAUACAAGCAUCUUAAACUGAGUUGCAUCUCUUGCACCUCCAACAGACAUGUGGAAAUAACCUACACAUAAGAGUACUUAUUAAAAUCCAACCAGUUCUCCAAAUUCUUUUAAUGUCUCAUUUUAAAGUUUUAUACUCUCCAAAUGAUUCUCCUGUACACUCACUAGAUGAUCUGAGAAUGUUCUUAAUUCAAGUGUUUGUUUGUUUGUUUUUAAAUGUUUAACUCUCCUUAUCUUAUUGUUCUGUUCAGAACCUCAAGGUCCAAAAUAAGCAAAGGAGGAGAGAGGAGACAUCCUUGCCUUGCACCUUUUUGUAUAUCAUGUGGAUUUGUUAACUCGCCAUUACCAUUUGUGCAAUCCCAUGAAUUUCAUGAGAUUUUCUUAAGCAAGGAAUACUCAAGAGAUUGGGGUUUUUUUCCCAAUUAUUUCCUCUGAAAUAGUCCACAGCACCUAGGAUUCAUAGGCGGUCUCCCAUCCAAGUACUAACCAGGCUUACCCUGCUUAGCUUCCAAUAUUAAAUAGGAUCUUGUACUUUAAGGGUAUUUAGUUAUAUUGGACAUACAGUGCAUAUAAAGGUGUAAGGGCCUUGCUGAGAACUGUAAUUUUCUAGUUAAGAGAAUGUUUGUUCCUGUGUAGAUUAAAAAUAAAAUGAAAAUAUAGCUAGAUGUUCAAGCCUCUGUUAUGCUGAAAGACUGCACCAAUCUCUUGUUUAUAAAGUUUCCUUCAAGCACAUAGAAUGAGGUACUGCUAGUCGUAAUUUUAACUUGAGUUACUGAUUUCCUUUCUGCAAUUUUCUUAGAAGUGUGUGACCACUGAUGCCAGCUUAAGAUAUUGAUUUGACAACUUUUUUCUUUUCUCUUUGCAUAAAUGCAUGACACAAAAUAUUUUUAAAAAUGGAAAACAGUACUAGGGGUAAUUUCCAGUAGUUACUAAAAAGGAGGCCACUAUUCUGCAAACAACCACCCACUCUGAUCUUGUGCUGUAACAAAUGUAAUGGUCUUAAUCGCUCUUGUUGGCUCGUUUUUGAUGUAUGGCUUUAAUUGCAUUUCCAAGUGGGAGUAGACUGUGGCAAGCACCAAAGCCAUAAGCUUAACAAGAGGAUGGGUUUAGUGCCUUCAGCUGUUGCAGGAGCAGAUGUGUCUUGUCUCCCUCUUUUAAUCAAACAAAAAUUCACCUACUCCAGUUUUAAAAUACCAUGCAGUUUUCUCAGUUUUGCUCACUGACAAGAACCAGUUUCAAUACAACUGAUGUAAAAGGAAAGCAAAAAACAGCAGUAAAAACAUGGGUAGUUGAGUGGGCAAUAAGACAAAUGUCCUCUUGGCUUAAUAACUUUAUUAAGCCAAAUAAAAAGGGGCAGAACUGUGUGAAAGUUUUUGACAUUUCCAGAUAUUCAUGUCAAACGACAUUUGUGUAUGUUGUUUUUGUCUUUCUUUUUUGUUCUUUUUAAGUUGCUAUGUUGUUGUCUGAUAGUAGUAGAUAGUAUGUGGUUGUGCAGUUUUUAAUUUUAUGUAUGAGUAUCUUGCUUGUGUGCAUUUCACCUAAAAGAAGAAAAACCAGAGAGUCAAUUAGAGGUGGUGGCUUGAAUGUUGAAUUAGGACUCCAUGAGACCCGGAUUCAAAUCUUUUGCUUGGUUGUGAAAACUCAUUUGGUAACCUUGGGACAAGCCACACUCUCUCAGCCUUAAGGGAAUGCAAUAUAAAUCCUGUCCUGAACAAAUCUCAACAAGAAACCCAUUUGUUAGGAUCACCUUAGAGCUUCUAUUACUUAGAAAUAACCUGUACACGUGAAAAACCAACAAAAAUCAGGGGAUUGCAUGCAAAACUUGUAUGUUAUUGUAUGCUAUGCUGAGAAUUUUUGUUACACAGAAGGAGUAUUCAAUAAAUUAGAAAUAAAAUGAA